AGCGCAGACGGUUUAUUAAAUCUGAUGUGAAAGCCCGGAGCUCAACUCCGGAAUGGCAUUGGAAACUGGUUAACUUGAGUGCAGUAGAGGUAAGUGGAACUCCAUGUGUAGCGGUGGAAUGCGUAGAUAUAUGGAAGAACACCAGUGGCGAAGGCGGCUUACUGGACUGCAACUGACGUUGAGGCUCGAAAGUGUGGGUAGCAAACA
This 207-nucleotide ribosomal RNA is filed under the name uncultured bacterium. Its description in RNAcentral is "partial 16S ribosomal RNA". It matches the Rfam family "Bacterial small subunit ribosomal RNA", at positions 568 to 774 of the family's 1533-position model. The record is from RNAcentral.